This is a long non-coding RNA of Lotus japonicus, 398 nucleotides long. RefSeq lists it as uncharacterized. Lineage: Eukaryota; Viridiplantae; Streptophyta; Magnoliopsida; Fabales; Fabaceae. The record is from RefSeq and is a predicted model, not a curated record. The transcript is spliced from 3 exons.
AUUAAGGCCACCAUUAAACACAUUGAAGACUCUGAUGAUUGGUGGUAUCCUGCGUGCAAAUGCAAUCGGUCACUUAUUCAACGGAGCAAGUUGUACUAUUGUGAAAGUUGCAAACACCACCUUUUGACAGCAAUCCCAAGAUACCGAAUAAAGAUCCGGGCUACUGAUGAAAGUGACUUUGUAUCCUUGGUUAUAUUUGAUGAAGAGGGAUCUCUGAUAUUAAACAGAACAUGUUCUGAGUUCAUUGACAUACUUGAUAAGAACAAUACCUUGCACAUUCCUCCGGCACAACUGCUUGAAUUGGUGGAUAAGACAUUCUUAUUCAAGGUUGAGAUAAAAAAAGAAAAAAACUCUAAGUAUGAAGCAUGCUAUCGUGUUAACAGACUUACAGAUGAUGC